RNAcentral lists this ribosomal RNA (650 nucleotides) under uncultured bacterium. RNAcentral describes it as "bacterial SSU rRNA". It matches the Rfam family "Bacterial small subunit ribosomal RNA", at positions 63 to 696 of the family's 1533-position model. The record is from RNAcentral.
CGGGCGGACUCUUCGGGAGUGAGUAGAGUGGCGCACGGGUGAGUAACGCGUAGGUAAUCUACCCUUAUAUCUGGGAUAACCGACCGAAAGGUUGGCUAAUACCGGAUACCCUUUAGUUAUCGCGAGGUAUUUAAAGGAAAGGUGACCUCUGAUUAAGUUACCGUAUAGGGAUGAGCCUGCGUACCAUUAGCUAGUUGGUGGGGUAAAGGCCUACCAAGGCGACGAUGGUUAGCGGGUCUGAGAGGAUGAUCCGCCACACUGGAACUGGAACACGGACCAGACUCCUACGGGAGGCAGCAGUGAGGAAUAUUGCGCAAUGGGGGCAACCCUGACGCAGCGACGCCGCGUGGGUGAGGAAGGUUUUCGGAUCGUAAAGCCCUGUCAGGUGGGAAGAAAUGUUAUACGGUUAAUACCCGUAUAGCUUGACGGUACCACCAGAGGAAGCACCGGCUAACUCCGUGCCAGCAGCCGCGGUAAUACGGAGGGUGCGAGCGUUGUUCGGAAUUACUGGGCGUAAAGGGCGCGUAGGCGGCUUGAUAAGUCAGAUGUGAAAGCCCACGGCUCAACCGUGGAAGUGCAUCUGAAACUGUCUGGCUUGAGUAUUGGAUGGGAAAGUGGAAUUCCAGGUGUAGAGGUGAAAUUCGUAGAUA